UACGUAGGGGGCAAGCGUUGUCCGGAAUCAUUGGGCGUAAAGCGCGUGUUAGGCGGCCAGAAAAGUCCGCUGUGAAAACUCGAGGCUCAACUUCGAGCUGUCGGUGGAAACUUUCUGGCUAGAGUCCGGAAGAGGAGAAUGGAAUUCCUGGUGUAGCGGUGAAAUGCGCAGAUAUCAGGAAGAACACCCCGUGGCGAAGGCGGUUCUCUGGGACGGUACUGACGCUGAGACGCGAAAGCGUGGGGAGCGAACAGG
RNAcentral lists this ribosomal RNA (255 nucleotides) under uncultured bacterium. RNAcentral's name for it is "partial 16S ribosomal RNA". It matches the Rfam family "Bacterial small subunit ribosomal RNA", at positions 524 to 776 of the family's 1533-position model. The record is from RNAcentral.